Rhipicephalus sanguineus (brown dog tick) is the source of this 223-nucleotide long non-coding RNA. RefSeq lists it as uncharacterized. The transcript is spliced from 3 exons. The record is from RefSeq and is a predicted model, not a curated record. NCBI's taxonomy places the organism in Eukaryota, Metazoa, Arthropoda, Arachnida, Ixodida, Ixodidae.
GUGGUCAGGUUCCCGACCUUCUCCUCUGGCGAAGCCGCCAGCGAUACCGUCAGCCCCAGCGCAUACACCGUAAUCGACAAGACCCGGGAACGCUUCAUCGUGAUCGCGAUGAGCACCCUGCUCUUGCUGAUCAGCCUCACACUGUUCGGCAUACUCUUCACGCUGCUCUCCGAGGACUUCGCGCCGUUCACAACGGUAAUAAGUAAGCACAAGCAUGUUUUUA